RNAcentral lists this ribosomal RNA (837 nucleotides) under Alternaria halotolerans. Its description in RNAcentral is "LSU rRNA". It matches the Rfam family "Eukaryotic large subunit ribosomal RNA", at positions 80 to 935 of the family's 3401-position model. Lineage: Eukaryota; Fungi; Ascomycota; Dothideomycetes; Pleosporales; Pleosporaceae. The record is from RNAcentral.
CCAGUAACGGCGAGUGAAGCGGCAACAGCUCAAAUUUGAAAUCUGGCUCUUUUAGAGUCCGAGUUGUAAUUUGCAGAGGGCGCUUUGGCUUUGGCAGCGGUCCAAGUUCCUUGGAACAGGACGUCACAGAGGGUGAGAAUCCCGUACGUGGUCGCUGGCUAUUGCCGUGUAAAGCCCCUUCGACGAGUCGAGUUGUUUGGGAAUGCAGCUCUAAAUGGGAGGUACAUUUCUUCUAAAGCUAAAUAUUGGCCAGAGACCGAUAGCGCACAAGUAGAGUGAUCGAAAGAUGAAAAGCACUUUGGAAAGAGAGUCAAACAGCACGUGAAAUUGUUGAAAGGGAAGCGCUUGCAGCCAGACUUGCUUGCAGUUGCUCAUCCGGGCUUUUGCCCGGUGCACUCUUCUGCAGGCAGGCCAGCAUCAGUUUGGGCGGUAAGAUAAAGGUCUCUGUCACGUACCUCUCUUCGGGGAGGCCUUAUAGGGGAGACGACAUAUUACCAGCCUGGACUGAGGUCCGCGCAUCUGCUAGGAUGCUGGCGUAAUGGCUGUAAGCGGCCCGUCUUGAAACACGGACCAAGGAGUCUAACAUCUAUGCGAGUGUUUGGGUGUCAAGCCCGAGCGCGUAAUGAAAGUGAACGGAGGUAGGAACCCGCAAGGGUGCACUAUCGACCGAUCCUGAUGUCUUCGGAAGGAUUUGAGUAAGAGCAUGGCUGUUGGGACCCGAAAGAUGGUGAACUAUGCUUGAAUAGGGUGAAGCCAGAGGAAACUCUGGUGGAGGCUCGCAGCGGUUCUGACGUGCAAAUCGAUCGUCAAAUUUGGGCAUAGGGGCGAAAGACUAAU